Molecule: ribosomal RNA, 483 nt
Filed under: uncultured bacterium
Lineage: Bacteria
Description: partial 16S ribosomal RNA
Rfam family: Bacterial small subunit ribosomal RNA
Source: RNAcentral
GACGAACGCUGGCGGCGUGCUUAACACAUGCAAGUCGAACGCUGAAGCUCAGCUUUUGUUGGGUGGAUGAGUGGCGAACGGGUGAGUAACACGUGAGUAACCUGCCUCCUUCUUUGGGAUAACGCCCGGAAACGGGUGCUAAUACUGGAUAUUCACUGGUCUUCGCAUGGGGGUUGGUGGAAAGGGUUUUUCUGGUGGGGGAUGGGCUCGCGGCCUAUCAGCUUGUUGGUGGGGUGAUGGCCCACCAAGGCUUUGACGGGUAGCCGGCCUGAGAGGGUGACCGGUCACAUUGGGACUGAGAUACGGCCCAGACUCCUACGGGAGGCAGCAGUGGGGAAUAUUGCACAAUGGGCGCAAGCCUGAUGCAGCGCCGCCGCGUGAGGGAUGGAGGCCUUCGGGUUGUGAACCUCUUUCGCUCAUGGUCAAGCCGCAACAAUGGUUGUGGUGAGGGUAGUGGGUAAAGAAGCGCCGGCUAACUACGUG